GCCUCAUAAACAUAGAGAAUGACGUUUGACGACUCCAGCGACUAUCGGAGGAAAUCAUGAAGUAUUCCUGUAGAUCAUGGACAUAUCGAACUGAAAUUAAAUCUGUUACAGUAAAGAAACAUUUGUAACAUCACCAAGUAUGAUGUUAAAAGAGAAUUUUGGUUUUAUCAUUAGACUUGGAUGGAUUGGGGCAACAAAAAGGAUGUAAAUAGCAAGUAUCGACAUGGCAGAUAAUUCACAAGAAACUGAUGAUGAAAAGCUUGCUUCAGGAGCUGAAAAACCCAGAGUUUCCCCCAAUCUGCUGGUGGCAGCCAUUGAUUUUGGGACUGCCUACUCGGGCUAUGCUUUCUCU
Long non-coding RNA from Saccostrea cuccullata (small rock oyster), 352 nucleotides. RefSeq lists it as uncharacterized. The record is from RefSeq and is a predicted model, not a curated record. The transcript is spliced from 3 exons. Lineage: Eukaryota; Metazoa; Mollusca; Bivalvia; Ostreida; Ostreidae.